This 25-nucleotide non-coding RNA is filed under the name Rattus norvegicus (Norway rat). Lineage: Eukaryota; Metazoa; Chordata; Mammalia; Rodentia; Muridae. The record is from RNAcentral.
UUGGAGUUUUCUUAUUCCUGGAGCA